RNAcentral lists this ribosomal RNA (903 nucleotides) under uncultured Bacillota bacterium. RNAcentral's name for it is "bacterial SSU rRNA". It matches the Rfam family "Bacterial small subunit ribosomal RNA", at positions 58 to 936 of the family's 1533-position model. Lineage: Bacteria; Bacillati; Bacillota. The record is from RNAcentral.
CAAGUCGAACGCGAAAGUUCCCUUCGGGGAGCGAGUAGAGUGGCGCACGGGUGAGUAACACGUAGGUAAUCUACCUUUGGAUUGGGAAUAACAACCGGAAACGGUUGCUAAUACCGAAUAAUGCAGCGGCACCUAAUGGUGACAGUUGUUAAAGCGGGGGAUCGCAAGACCUCGCGUCUGAAGAGGAGCCUGCGGCGGAUUAGCUAGUUGGUAAGGUAAUGGCUUACCAAGGCGAUGAUCCGUAGCCGGCCUGAGAGGGCGGUCGGCCACACUGACACUGACAUACGGGUCAGACUCCUACGGGAGGCAGCAGUCGGGAAUUUUGGGCAAUGGGCGAAAGCCUGACCCAGCAACGCCGCGUGAAGGAUGAAAUCCCUCGGGAUGUAAACUUCGCAAGAACGGGAAGAAUAAGUAGGAGCUAACAUCUCUUACGAUGACGGUACUGUUUGUAAGCUCCGGCUAACUCCGUGCCAGCAGCCGCGGUAAUACGGGGGGAGCAAGCGUUGUUCGGAUUUACUGGGCGUAAAGGGCGCGUAGGCGGCCACUGCAAGUCAGUUGUGAAAUCUCCGGGCUUAACCCGGAAAGGUCAACUGAUACUGCAGGGCUAGAGUGCAGAAGGGGCAACUGGAAUUCUCGGUGUAGCGGUGAAAUGCGUAGAUAUCGAGAGGAACACCUGCGGCGAAGGCGGGUUGCUGGGCUGACACUGACGCUGAUGUGCGAAAGCCAGGGGAGCGAACGGGAUUAGAUACCCCGGUAGUCCUGGCCUUAAACGAUGAAUGCUUGGUGUCUGGGGUUUUUAUAGUCCCCGGGUGCCGUCGCUAACGCUUUAAGCAUUCCGCCUGGGGAGUACGGUCGCAAGACUGAAACUCAAAGGAAUUGACGGGGACCCGCACAAGCGGUGGA